ACAGUGGGGUGGGGGGCCAGGAUGGUAGGGGAGCCCACCUGAGGGAGGUGGGGCUGAAUCAGGGAAGCACCCUGUGGGCUCUCUGAGCUCCCUCUCUGCACAGGGACCAAGCUGUGGGUCAGAGUCCUACAUAUUCAAUAUCUAUUCACCAACAAUCAGUGGGUACAGGAUUGGCUUGUGGUAUCUCAGGGAAGGAGAUACUGGUUUCACCCUGGGAACCAUCCAAGCACCCAGGUCCCUGGUACCAGCUCUCAGCUCUUUGAUAGCAGUCUUGGGGCCUCCCUGGGUCCUGUCUCUGAGGAGCAGAAGAGGAGUUGAGCUCCCCCCACUUGCUUCCACCUCUCAGCCACCCUGGACUUCAGACUUGCAGGCCCCAGAGCACAGUUUAUCUCCCCAUCUGCAAGAGCGAUUUUCCAUUUGCUCCACAAUGGGAAAUAAGAAUCCAUCAUGUGCCAUUGUGUCAGGAAGGUGGUGUCUACUUUAAUAAAUUUGCUUUUAAAUGCUGGCUGUCUCUGGAGAUCGUUUCGCUCAUGCCUGCAGACAAAGUGAUUAAAGUUGCAGAGUAUACAUGGUUCCUGCAAAGACCCAGAA
This 591-nucleotide long non-coding RNA is filed under the name Homo sapiens (human). RNAcentral's name for it is "HSALNT0358381". Lineage: Eukaryota; Metazoa; Chordata; Mammalia; Primates; Hominidae. The record is from RNAcentral.